CCCUUAGAUGUCCUGGGCCGCACGCGCGUUACACUGAUGCAUUCAACGAGCUUAUAACCUUGGCCGAGAGGCCUGGGCAAUCUUGUUAACGUGCAUCGUGAUAGGGAUAGAUUAUUGAAAUUAUUAAUCUUGAACGAGGAAUUCCUAGUAAACGCAGAUCAUCAAUCUGCAUUGAUUACGUCCCUGCCCUUUGUACACACCGCCCGUCGCACCUACCGAUUGGGUGAUCCGGUGAGCUGUUCGGCCAUAGCAAUGUUUCUUGAGCAGGGCAAUGAAUGUUUCGCAAACCUUGCCACUUAGAGGAAGGAGAAGUCGUAACA
Molecule: ribosomal RNA, 320 nt
Filed under: uncultured eukaryote
Lineage: Eukaryota
Description: partial 18S ribosomal RNA
Rfam family: Eukaryotic small subunit ribosomal RNA
Source: RNAcentral